UACCAGCACCCCGAGUGGUCGGGACGUUUAUUGGGCCUAAAGCAUCCGUAGCCGGUUCUACAAGUCUUCCGUUAAAUCCAUCUGCUUAACGGAUGGGCUGCGGAAGAUACUAUAGAGCUAGGAGGCGGGAGAGGCAAGCGGUACUCGAUGGGUAGGGGUAAAAUCCGUUGAUCCAUUGAAGACCACCAGUGGCGAAGGCGGCUUGCCAGAACGCGCUCGACGGUGAGGGAUGAAAGCUGGGGGAGCAAACCGG
Molecule: ribosomal RNA, 253 nt
Filed under: uncultured bacterium
Lineage: Bacteria
Description: partial 16S ribosomal RNA
Rfam family: Archaeal small subunit ribosomal RNA
Source: RNAcentral